RNAcentral lists this small RNA (711 nucleotides) under Pongo abelii (Sumatran orangutan). Its description in RNAcentral is "processed transcript". The record is from RNAcentral. Lineage: Eukaryota; Metazoa; Chordata; Mammalia; Primates; Hominidae.
UUUCCUCGGAGUGAGAGAAAACUCUUUUUAGAUACCAUCUGAGAGGUAGUUAAUUUGGCAGCAUGGGGAUACAGGGAUUGCUACAAUUUAUCAAAGAAGCUUCAGAACCCAUCCAUGUGAGGAAGUAUAAAGGGCAGGUAGUAGCUGUGGAUACAUAUUGCUGGCUUCACAAAGGAGCUAUUGCUUGUGCUGAAAAACUAGCCAAAGGUGAACCUACUGAUAGAAGACGACAAGCCAAUCUUCUUAAGGGAAAGCAGCUUCUUCGUGAGGGGAAAGUCUCAGAAGCCCGAGAGUGUUUCACCCGGUCUAUCAAUAUCACACAUGCCAUGGCCCACAGAGUAAUUAAAGUCAAGCUAGAAGGAAACGAUGGGAUGCAGGAGAGUGAAGUAUAAAGAAAUGUGUGCUCUGUGUCGUCAGGAGAAGAGAGGCGGCAUUGUAUGCAGAAGUAGAGGAGAAACCCUGAUUGGACACAAAUAGUGGUGUAGCUGCCCGGUCUCAAGGGGUAGAUUGCCUCGUGGCUCCCUAUGAAGCUGAUGCGCAGUUGGCCUAUCUUAACAAAGCGGGAAUUGUACAAGCCAUAAUUACAGAGGACUCGGAUCUCCUAGCUUUUGGCUGUAAAAAGGCUGUGACUACCUGUCAUCACUGCGUGGGAUUGGAUUAGCAAAGGCAUGCAAAGUCCUAAGACUAGCCAAUAAUCCAGAUAUAGUAAAG